UGAGGAGCUUUGCUCCAGUCAAAGAGUUUAAACUCAAUGUCCUCCUUGGUGCUGAGAGAGCAGGGUAACACAACAUCACGGCCAUCUUCAAUCAACAGUGG
Molecule: long non-coding RNA, 101 nt
Organism: Etheostoma cragini (Arkansas darter)
Lineage: Eukaryota; Metazoa; Chordata; Actinopteri; Perciformes; Percidae
Exons: 3
Source: RefSeq, a predicted model, not a curated record